RNAcentral lists this ribosomal RNA (1361 nucleotides) under Salmonella enterica. RNAcentral describes it as "partial 23S ribosomal RNA". It matches the Rfam family "Bacterial large subunit ribosomal RNA", at positions 161 to 1566 of the family's 2925-position model. Lineage: Bacteria; Pseudomonadati; Pseudomonadota; Gammaproteobacteria; Enterobacterales; Enterobacteriaceae. The record is from RNAcentral. RNAcentral also lists the same sequence under 2 other names.
AAUCCAUAGGUUAAUGAGGCGAACCGGGGGAACUGAAACAUCUAAGUACCCCGAGGAAAAGAAAUCAACCGAGAUUCCCCCAGUAGCGGCGAGCGAACGGGGAGGAGCCCAGAGCCUGAAUCAGCAUGUGUGUUAGUGGAAGCGUCUGGAAAGGCGCGCGAUACAGGGUGACAGCCCCGUACACAAAAGCGCAUGUGCUGUGAGCUCGAUGAGUAGGGCGGGACACGUGGUAUCCUGUCUGAAUAUGGGGGGACCAUCCUCCAAGGCUAAAUACUCCUGACUGACCGAUAGUGAACCAGUACCGUGAGGGAAAGGCGAAAAGAACCCCGGCGAGGGGAGUGAAAAAGAACCUGAAACCGUGUACGUACAAGCAGUGGGAGCACCCUUUGGGUGUGACUGCGUACCUUUUGUAUAAUGGGUCAGCGACUUAUAUUCUGUAGCAAGGUUAACCGAAUAGGGGAGCCGGAGGGAAACCGAGUCUUAACCGGGCGUUAAGUUGCAGGGUAUAGACCCGAAACCCGGUGAUCUAGCCAUGGGCAGGUUGAAGGUUGGGUAACACUAACUGGAGGACCGAACCGACUAAUGUUGAAAAAUUAGCGGAUGACCUGUGGCUGGGGGUGAAAGGCCAAUCAAACCGGGAGAUAGCUGGUUCUCCCCGAAAGCUAUUUAGGUAGCGCCUCGUGAAUUCAUCUCCGGGGGUAGAGCACUGUUUCGGCUAGGGGGCCAUCCCGGCUUACCAACCCGAUGCAAACUGCGAAUACCGGAGAAUGUUAUCACGGGAGACACACGGCGGGUGCUAACGUCCGUCGUGAAGAGGGAAACAACCCAGACCGCCAGCUAAGGUCCCAAAGUCAUGGUUAAGUGGGAAACGAUGUGGGAAGGCCCAGACAGCCAGGAUGUUGGCUUAGAAGCAGCCAUCAUUUAAAGAAAGCGUAAUAGCUCACUGGUCGAGUCGGCCUGCGCGGAAGAUGUAACGGGGCUAAACCAUGCACCGAAGCUGCGGCAGCGACACUGUGUGUUGUUGGGUAGGGGAGCGUUCUGUAAGCCUGUGAAGGUGUGUCGUGAGGCAUGCUGGAGGUAUCAGAAGUGCGAAUGCUGACAUAAGUAACGAUAAAGCGGGUGAAAAGCCCGCUCGCCGGAAGACCAAGGGUUCCUGUCCAACGUUAAUCGGGGCAGGGUGAGUCGACCCCUAAGGCGAGGCCGAAAGGCGUAGUCGAUGGGAAACGGGUUAAUAUUCCCGUACUUGGUGUUACUGCGAAGGGGGGACGGAGAAGGCUAUGUUGGCCGGGCGACGGUUGUCCCGGUUUAAGCGUGUAGGCUGGUUUUCCAGGCAAAUCCGGAAAAUCAAGGCUGAGGCGUGA